CAUCUAAGGGACUGAGUU
This 18-nucleotide small nuclear RNA is filed under the name Arabidopsis thaliana (thale cress). Its description in RNAcentral is "snRNA_10479". The record is from RNAcentral. Lineage: Eukaryota; Viridiplantae; Streptophyta; Magnoliopsida; Brassicales; Brassicaceae.